RNAcentral lists this unclassified non-coding RNA (382 nucleotides) under soil metagenome. RNAcentral's name for it is "partial contains 5.8S ribosomal RNA, internal transcribed spacer 2, and large subunit ribosomal RNA". The stretch from base 1 to 120 matches the Rfam family "5.8S ribosomal RNA", at positions 35 to 154 of the family's 154-position model. The record is from RNAcentral.
GAUGAAGAACGUAGUGAAAUGCGAUAAGUAAUGUGAAUUGCAGAAUUCAGUGAAUCAUCGAAUCUUUGAACGCACCUUGCACCCUUUGGCAUUCCGAAGGGUAUGCUCGUUUGAGUGUCAUUGUACUCUCACUCUCCCGAUACUUUUGGAUCGGGAGUGGUGGACUUGGGUGCUGCUGCUUAACUGUGGCUCGCCUUAAAUGAAGUAGUGCAACUCUCGGUUGGACAUAGUACGGCGUGAUAAGUGUCUUCGCCGGCGCCUCAUUCGAGGGUGGCCGAUUGGGAGCUCUGUGCUUCAAACUGUCUUCGGACAACAUCUGACAACUUGACCUCAAAUCGAGUAGGACUACCCGCUGAACUUAAGCAUAUCAAUAAGCGGAGGA